AGAGUUUGAUCCUGGCUCAGAUUGAACGCUGGCGGCAGGCUUAACACAUGCAAGUCGAGCGGUAACAGAGAGUAGCUUGCUACUCUGCUGACGAGCGGCGGACGGGUGAGUAAUGCCUAGGAAUCUGCCUAGUAGUGGGGGAUAACUUGCCGAAAGGUAAGCUAAUACCGCAUACGUCCUACGGGAGAAAGGAGGGGACCUUCGGGCCUUUCGCUAUUAGAUGAGCCUAGGUCGGAUUAGUUAGUUGGUGAGGUAAUGGCUCACCAAGACCGCGAUCCGUAACUGGUCUGAGAGGAUGAUCAGUCACACUGGAACUGAGACACGGUCCAGACUCCUACGGGAGGCAGCAGUGGGGAAUAUUGGACAAUGGGGGAAACCCUGAUCCAGCCAUGCCGCGUGUGUGAAGAAGGUCUUAGGAUUGUAAAGCACUUUAAGUUGGGAGGAAGAGCAGUUAACUAAUAUUUGACUGUUUUGACGUUACCGACAGAAUAAGCACCGGCUAACUUCGUGCCAGCAGCCGCGGUAAU
RNAcentral lists this ribosomal RNA (527 nucleotides) under uncultured bacterium. RNAcentral's name for it is "bacterial SSU rRNA". It matches the Rfam family "Bacterial small subunit ribosomal RNA", at positions 8 to 524 of the family's 1533-position model. The record is from RNAcentral.